This 404-nucleotide unclassified non-coding RNA is filed under the name Hevea brasiliensis (rubber tree). The record is from RNAcentral. Lineage: Eukaryota; Viridiplantae; Streptophyta; Magnoliopsida; Malpighiales; Euphorbiaceae.
GCCAAAUCCGCAGCAUAGCGCUCAACAGCUCUGAACGAAAACCUCCAUCAUUCCAUGAAAAGCAUAACUAACUUUCUACCCAAAAUUAUUGAAUCACAUAGUGUUCAAUGUCAUUACCAUUUAUCAGGGAAAUUACUACCCUAUCAGAGUACAUUUCUUAACUUCAUUAGUCAUAUUUGAAAAUGAUAACAAAAUUUUAAAUUUGUAGGAGCAAAAAAGCAUAAAAAGAUCCAAAUGCAACUUUGCUUGUGGACAAAAUUCAAAAAAUGUUACACAGAGUAAUUAGAAGAAAUUGCAUAAUAGCUUUCUGCAAUUUUCUUCAAACCUAAUUACUUUUCAGGGCAUUCUUAUUCUUUAGCAAGUUUUUUCAUAUAGCUGUUAAGCAUAUUGGUCUUGCAUCUAGA